Molecule: ribosomal RNA, 245 nt
Filed under: uncultured bacterium
Lineage: Bacteria
Description: partial 16S ribosomal RNA
Rfam family: Bacterial small subunit ribosomal RNA
Source: RNAcentral
GACGAAGGUGGCUAGCGUUGUUCGAAAUCACUGGGCUUAAAGCGCGUGUAGGCGGCCUAUCAAGCGUCGUGUGAAAGCCCUCGGCUCAACCGAGGAAUUGCACGGCGAACUGGCAGGCUUGAGGCAGGCAUGGGCGAGUGGAACUCUUGGUGGAGCGGUGGAAUGCGUAGAUAUCAAGAGGAACACCGGUGGCGAAAGCGACUCGCUGGACCUGUCCUGACGCUGAGAUGCGAAAGCCAGGGGAG